CAGCAGCCGCGGUAAUACAGAGGGUGCAAGCGUUAAUCGGAAUUACUGGGCGUAAAGCGCACGUAGGCGGUCUGCUAAGUCGGGUGUGAAAGCCCCGGGCUCAACCCGGGAAGUGCACUCGAAACUGGCGGACUUGAAUGUCGGAGAGGGCAGUGGAAUUCCGAGUGUAGAGGUGAAAUUCGUAGAUAUUCGGAGGAACACCAGUGGCGAAGGCGACUGCCUGGACGAACAUUGACGCUGAGGUGCGAAAGCGUGGGGAGCAAACAGGAUUAGAUACCCCCGUAGUCCCUGUCUCUUAUAC
This 301-nucleotide ribosomal RNA is filed under the name uncultured bacterium. Its description in RNAcentral is "partial 16S ribosomal RNA". It matches the Rfam family "Bacterial small subunit ribosomal RNA", at positions 509 to 807 of the family's 1533-position model. The record is from RNAcentral.